AGACUUGGCCAGCAGCAGCUACACCCCUCCGUACCUCAGAGAGACUGCAGACGAGUGAGAGCAGCUGCGUGUGUAGAGGAAUAGUAGGUGACAGCACAACCCCAGGCUCCCUAGAGGGGACAGAUAGGAGUCGUUUUAAAGCAAAUGACAGGGGGCUAUGGAAUGCUUUCAGGCUGGGCCUUAAGGGGACAAGGAGGCAAGGCUACCCAGAGAUCAGAAUCAAGCCAACAUCACCCAGCCACAUCUGGCUCCAGAAAGAUGCUCCUUCUGCAAGACCCAGAAGAGAAACUAAGCCCUCAAACAUGCAAGCUAAAGAGGCUGAAGUCCAAGAUGGAAGACCUGGUAGACAGGGUUCCUCACAGACAGCACCUACUGUGUGCCCACGCAUGGCCCAGAGGCCUGCAGUGAGGCAAGACAUCAUGAUCAGAACAUACGGUGAGGCAAAACCACUCAUCUCAUCAGCCAGGGAACAGAGGCCAAGAUGAAAGGACCGGUGUCACCACAAUCACCAGUGGGGACACAUCAAAUGACUCAGAAUCCUCUCACAAGACCCAGGUUCACAAAGGCCCCACCCCCUGGAGACUUUGAGGGAACACACAGCAAACCACAGCACUCCAAACCUGAAUGAGCCCCUCUUGGGCCUAGGGCUUCCUUCCCACAGCUCAGACUGGACCACACUGCACCACCAGAGAAGUCAGUGUUCAGUAGUUUACAACCAAUGCGCUGUAACUGGCAUACCGGAAACCCUGGCGUCUCCCCUUAACGUAAAGCCAGCAUUAUCUGAGUCAAACUGUGGAAAGCAGGCAUCAGCCCAGAUUAAGACCAAGGAGGGAGCUGGAUCCGGGGCAGGCUCCAGAGAGAAAGGACAAUAACCUGGACUGUGAGAAGCAAUGGGCUGCAGCAUGGGAGGAAGAAGUCCACUGUGACACUCCUCAAAGCCACUACUGGGGAGGGUCCAAUCUGAGGGCCAGGGUAGAGAGCAUCAGCCUGCAGCUGGAGCUGGAGGAGACUUCCAGCCUGUCUCCAGCUUCACAGGGUCCAGCUAGCAAGCUGUGGAAUGCAGUCAGAAAGUCUUGGAAUUCAAUGCGUUCAGUGCUUCCUGGGGUCAUUUCAAACCUCAAGCACUUCAUCAUAGGGUCACACCAUGGUGUGCUUACAUGUCCAUCAGCUAGCUCAUAAAGUGGAUUGUUUUCUUUUUUGGUUAUUAUAACUAAUGAUGGUAUAACCAUCCAUGUCUAUGUCUUUGAGUAGAUCUUCUAUUGCUCUUGG
This is a non-coding RNA of Cricetulus griseus (Chinese hamster), 1269 nucleotides long. Lineage: Eukaryota; Metazoa; Chordata; Mammalia; Rodentia; Cricetidae. The record is from RefSeq and is a predicted model, not a curated record.